GACGAACGCUGACGGCGUGCUUAACACAUGCAAGUCGAACGGUGAAGCGCCUUCCUUUUUGGUGGGUGUGGAUGAGUGGCGAACGGGUGAGUAACACGUGAGUAACCUGCCCCCUUCUUCUGGAUAACCGCAUGAAAGUGUGGCUAAUACGGGAUAUUCUGGGUCUGUCGCAUGAUGGGUCUGGGAAAGAUAUUGUUUCGGUGGGGGAUGGGCUCGCGGCCUAUCAGCUUGUUGGUGGGGUGAUGGCCUACCAAGGCGGUGACGGGUAGCCGGCCUGAGAGGGUGGACGGUCACACUGGGACUGAGACACGGCCCAGACUCCUACGGGAGGCAGCAGUGGGGAAUAUUGCACAAUGGGCGCAAGCCUGAUGCAGCGACGCCGCGUGAGGGAUGGAGGCCUUCGGGUUGUGAACCUCUUUCGCCAGUGAAGCAGACCUGCCUCGUUUGUGGGUGGGUUGACGGUAGCUGGAUAAGAAGCGCCGGCUAACUACGUG
This 494-nucleotide ribosomal RNA is filed under the name uncultured bacterium. RNAcentral describes it as "partial 16S ribosomal RNA". It matches the Rfam family "Bacterial small subunit ribosomal RNA", at positions 28 to 507 of the family's 1533-position model. The record is from RNAcentral.